AUGAACGCUGGCGGCGUGCCUAAUACCUGCAAGUUGAGCGAACAGACGAGGAGCUUGCUCCUCUGACGUUAGCGGCGGACGGGUGAGUAACACGUGGAUAACCUACCUAUAAGACUGGGAUAACUUCGGGAAACCGGAGCUAAUACCGGAUAAUAUAUUGAACCGCAUGGUUCAAUAGUGAAAGACGGUUUUGCUGUCACUUAUAGAUGGAUCCGCGCCGCAUUAGCUAGUUGGUAAGGUAACGGCUUACCAAGGCGACGAUGCGUAGCCGACCUGAGAGGGUGAUCGGCCACACUGGAACUGAGACACGGUCCAGACUCCUACGGGAGGCAGCAGUAGGGAAUCUUCCGCAAAGGGCGAAAGCCUGACGGAGCAACGCCGCGUGAGUGAUGAAGGUCUUCGGAUCGUAAAACUCUGUUAUUAGGGAAGAACAAAUGUGUAAGUAACUAUGCACGUCUUGACGGUACCUAAUCAGAAAGCCACGGCUAACUACGUG
This 496-nucleotide ribosomal RNA is filed under the name uncultured bacterium. Its description in RNAcentral is "partial 16S ribosomal RNA". It matches the Rfam family "Bacterial small subunit ribosomal RNA", at positions 29 to 507 of the family's 1533-position model. The record is from RNAcentral.